UGGAUUUGUAUCAGGUUGUCCUAAAGUACUC
This 31-nucleotide non-coding RNA is filed under the name Rattus norvegicus (Norway rat). Lineage: Eukaryota; Metazoa; Chordata; Mammalia; Rodentia; Muridae. The record is from RNAcentral.